ACCACUUCUCGGCCUGGGUAGAUCAAGUGUUGCGUAUCUAUUUAUAUCAGUUUAAUAUCUUUUUUUCAUACAUCCUCUAUCGGAGGAUAUAUAUUUGAAUGGAUUUUGGGAGCCUAGGAGAUGACUAGUAACUUGCCCCACUCCACCCAUUGACCUGGUAUAUUACAGUACCUCCAGAAUGGUGCAUCCCCU
RNAcentral lists this small nuclear RNA (192 nucleotides) under Pan troglodytes (chimpanzee). RNAcentral describes it as "U2 spliceosomal RNA". It matches the Rfam family "U2 spliceosomal RNA". From Rfam's summary of the family: U2 is a small nuclear RNA (snRNA) component of the spliceosome (involved in pre-mRNA splicing). Complementary binding between U2 snRNA (in an area lying towards the 5' end but 3' to hairpin I) and the branchpoint sequence (BPS) of the intron results the bulging out of an unpaired adenosine, on the BPS, which initiates a nucleophilic attack at the intronic 5' splice site, thus starting the first of two transesterification reactions that mediate splicing. The record is from Rfam by way of RNAcentral. Lineage: Eukaryota; Metazoa; Chordata; Mammalia; Primates; Hominidae.